UUCACAGCUACUCUGGUGUUGGUGGG
RNAcentral lists this non-coding RNA (26 nucleotides) under Mus musculus (house mouse). The record is from RNAcentral. Lineage: Eukaryota; Metazoa; Chordata; Mammalia; Rodentia; Muridae.